Molecule: long non-coding RNA, 559 nt
Organism: Asterias rubens (European starfish)
Lineage: Eukaryota; Metazoa; Echinodermata; Asteroidea; Forcipulatida; Asteriidae
Exons: 4
Source: RefSeq, a predicted model, not a curated record
UAAAACCUGUACAUUUGAGUUACGAGGAAACAAAGACAACAUCAUGGUCAGAAAGGUAACCCAAGUGGACAGGAUUGUGACGGCCGAAUGAUGUGAAGUCCUUAUUUCAAUAUUCAACUGGAUAAAUUUUGUUGUCUUUGAUUGAACGCAUGUAUUCGGACUACAACAAAUUAAAAGCUGCAACAGUUACGAGUUUACGAAAACGCUUAUAAUAAUUAUUGGUAGUAUAGCAGCUGCUGGGAUCGCUGUUUUACUUAUACUGGUGCUGAUUGUUGGGUGUGGUUUCAGUCGUUUCUCUACCAUGGGAAAGGAAUCCGACAAGUCGUAUAGUUGGUUCCUGUUGAUAAGAAUACCGUGGCGUUGGAGAUGCUUGCGAACCACCUUCUGCCGUUGGGGGCGUCGCUUGUCAGACCAUGGAAUCCUUCCUGCUGUCGAAAUACAUGAGAAAUGGUGUGCCGCCCAAACCAGGUAUGUUCGUCUUGUGACUGAAAGAGGGAUGGAAGAGUAAACGGGAAAAACGUUAUUUUAGGCAAUCUUUAGUGAGCUAAAAUGUGCUAAA